This 463-nucleotide unclassified non-coding RNA is filed under the name uncultured Russula. Its description in RNAcentral is "sequence contains ITS2". The stretch from base 1 to 155 matches the Rfam family "5.8S ribosomal RNA". Lineage: Eukaryota; Fungi; Basidiomycota; Agaricomycetes; Russulales; Russulaceae. The record is from RNAcentral.
AACUUUCAACAAUGGAUCUCUUGGCUUUCGCAUCGAUGAAGAACGCCGCGAACGCGCGAAACGUAAUGUGAAUUGCAGAAUUCAGUGAAUCAUCGAAUCUUUGAACGCACCUUGCGCCCCUUGGCAUUCCGAGGGGCACACCCGUUUGAGUGUCGUGAAAUUCUCAAAACCUCUUCCUUUGCCGGAAAGGAUUUUGGACUUGGAGGCCUUUUGCUGGUUUCACCUCGAAGCGAGCUCCUCCCAAAUGGAUUAGUUGGGUCUUCUUUGCCGAUCCUUGACGUGAUAAGAUCCUUCUACGUCUCGGGUUUUGCCACUGUGCCUCUGCUUCUAACCGUCUCAUUGACAACGAUGGUGUUCCGGUCACCGCCGAUUCGUCGGUGGGAGGCUUGACCCACAAAACGACCUUGACCUCAAAUCGGGUGAGACUACCCGCUGAACUUAAGCAUAUCAAUAAGCGGAGGCU